AUAGCCCCAAAAUCAUAUAUUGAAGCCUUAACACCCCGUACCUGAAAAUGUGACCAUUUGGAGAUAAGACCUUUAUAGAAAUAGUUACAUUACAAUGGGAUUAUUAAGGUGGGCCCUAAUCUAAUAUGACUAGUGUUCUUACAAGAAUAGAAAAUGAGAAUAUAGACAACAUAAAGAGGCACCAUGUGAAAACACUGAAAGAAAACAGCUAUUUACAGGUCAAGGAGACAGGCCUCAGAAGAAGCAAUCCUUCGGACAGCUUGAUUUUGGACUUCCAGCCUCUGCUGCCUGGCAGUUUGGCUAUAUUUGUGCAAAGAAAAGUACUAUUCGCUGAUUCAGCGUUGAGUCUUUCAGGAUGCAGAGGCUGUCGGAGAAUCACAGUAACUCGCCAUACAUUUGGAUGCCUCUGACACCGGGUAGACCAUAUGAUAACCUAGUGCUCAGGAAGUAUUCAGGUUUCUUCCUAAAUAAUUAUACUCUUGAAAACUUUAAAAUUAUGUCCCGUGAACAGAAUAGGUAGCUUCAUUUGGGGUCACUGUGUAUCAGUAACUAAAUGUCUUUUUAAUCUUUG
This is a long non-coding RNA of Homo sapiens (human), 571 nucleotides long. RefSeq annotates it as long independently transcribed non-coding RNA 1966. The record is from RefSeq and is a predicted model, not a curated record. NCBI's taxonomy places the organism in Eukaryota, Metazoa, Chordata, Mammalia, Primates, Hominidae. The transcript is spliced from 3 exons.